Molecule: ribosomal RNA, 402 nt
Filed under: uncultured Hydrogenispora sp.
Lineage: Bacteria; Bacillati; Bacillota
Description: bacterial SSU rRNA
Rfam family: Bacterial small subunit ribosomal RNA
Source: RNAcentral
UAGGGAAUUUUCCGCAAUGGGCGAAAGCCUGACGGAGCAACGCCGCGUGAGGGAGGAAGGCCUUCGGGUCGUAAACCUUUGUCAUCGAGGACGAUAAUGACGGUACUCGAGGAGGAAGCCCCGGCUAACUACGUGCCAGCAGCCGCGGUAACACGUAGGGGGCGAGCGUUGUCCGGAAUUACUGGGCGUAAAGGGCGCGUAGGCGGCCCAAUAAGUCAGAUGUGAAAGUCCUGGGCUUAACCCAGGGAUUGCAUUUGAAACUGUUGGGCUUGAGGACAGGAGAGGAAAGCGGAAUUCCCAGUGUAGCGGUGAAAUGCGUAGAUAUUGGGAGGAACACCAGUGGCGAAGGCGGCUUUCUGGACUGUCCCUGACGCUGAGGCGCGAAAGCCAGGGGAGCGAACG